Molecule: long non-coding RNA, 402 nt
Organism: Nicotiana tabacum (common tobacco)
Lineage: Eukaryota; Viridiplantae; Streptophyta; Magnoliopsida; Solanales; Solanaceae
Source: RefSeq, a predicted model, not a curated record
AUAAAACAUAAAAAAUAAUUUACUCUAACUUUUAAGAAAACCUAAUCUGCUGAUUUCUCUCAAGGCUUAUCUCCCUCACUCCUCAAAAAAGUAUAAACCCUAAAUCUCCUAAAACUCCAUAAGCGAAGAUUUGGGGAGAAUAUCAAACUAAAAAUUUACUACUUAUCUAUCACAAGUACAUGUCCUAAAACUCGAUAUAUGAAAAUAUCCAGUUGAAAAUGAAUGAAGUGGAGGCCUAUUGUUAUUGAAGUGGAGGCCUAUUGUUGAUUUACUGCUUUCAUUAUAAUGUAAUAACCGUACUGAUGGACUGUUAAUUAUAAGUUUGUGCAUUUGAACCGUUAAGUGUGUGUUAGAUAUUUAGAAAUGCAUAUGAGUUUAGUUGAGUAUUCGUUGUAAUAAUUC